Molecule: long non-coding RNA, 1566 nt
Filed under: Scleropages formosus (Asian bonytongue)
Lineage: Eukaryota; Metazoa; Chordata; Actinopteri; Osteoglossiformes; Osteoglossidae
Description: lncRNA (ENSSFOG00015031859.1)
Source: RNAcentral
GGGACACGCGACACGCGGCUUUUCCCGUGCAGCGACUAGUCGGCCGCGUUCAGAGGCAGAAGGAAGGCGAAUCGCGGACGGCCUGCUCUUCUUAGCGGAGGAAAAGGAUACAAUGUAACAGAGAGCCGCUCACCUGCCUCGCCGACACGAGAGCCGCUCCGCUCCUCUUCUUCUCCUGCAGCUAUUUCCACUUGUUCAAGUGUCUCUCAGAUGAGCAUCGCCGGCGUGUCACUCGUCUUCAUCUCCACUCAUCGUUCCCUUAUUCUCCAGCACCGCGCGCGCGCGCACAGACACACACACACACACACACACACACACACACACACACACACACACACGCGCACACGCUGGUCCAGGCGCUCAGCUCCAGUCCCCCGGAAGAUGACUGAGUGUGAAAGACGCUCCUCGGCAGAUGAACUCCUUGCUCUGUAACUUGUGCGGUCUUUCCGUCUCCUGCUCCCCCCGCCGGGUUUCGGGCUCUUACUUUACACACAGAUCACUUCCAUUCCCCGGAUCCCUGGACUGUCCAGCGCUGCGGGGACAUGCCAUGGCACUCUCUCCCUCCUUCUCUCUCUCUCUCUCUCUCUCUCUCUCUCUCUCUCUCUCUCACACACACACACACACGCACGGACACACACUCUUUCGUUCUCUUUCCCCCCCGUUUUCUGAGUGCACUUCCUCGCCCCGCAGACGGAGCCGCGAGACGGAGAGAAGCUGCCUGACACCGGGUUUGCGGCGCUGCGGCGCGUGCCACCGCGAGCUCCCGGUGUGGAGGGGGGUGGUGGGGGGUGUUGGGUCGACCAACGACGACGAGGAGGAGGAGGAGGAGGAGGAGGGGACGGGAGCGCGCGGUCCGGAGUGCAGUAUUUCCAUAUUCACAUGAACCCAGAGGAAUACAAAAAUAAUGAAAUGUGAAGCGAUGCUAAUGUGGAGCAGGUGAAAAAUGAACACAAGAGAAGAGGUCGAAGCACAGAAUUCACCUGUAAGUCGGAGGAAGGAGCAUUAAAACUUGAUUACAACUCUUGUAAAGAUCCAAUUUGUUUGCAGAGUAGGAGGGAAGAGCUCCAAAGGAGCCUCCUGCAGAGGAACAGAAGCGAAGCAGAGGAGGAGCACAACUUCUCUUCACUACAAUGACGAACCUCCUUCAUUUCCAUUUCAUUGUUCUCGUAGUAUUUUACAUCUCAAACAAAAAACACCUGAAAUUGACAAGAAGCCUCAAACAGCACUCCUGAUUUGUUUUAAAUCAUUUAUAUUACAAACACCUUUUUAACAUCUGCGAAUCUCUGUAAUCCUAGUCAUUUACAUUGAAAAUGAACUCUUUUUUAUAUGUGGCUGUCAAACAUGCAACAACCUACAAACAGUCAUCACCUCUGUGUCCUUUCCUUAAUAAGUCACAUUUGUUUUAAACAUGACCUUAUAAAGAGUUACCCUCCUUGCCUUCGUACACAUUUUCUGUAACUCCAUUAGCCCAUUUUCUGAGCAGUGGUCUGGUAGUUAACCUUUUAAUUAAACUAUUAAUCUGAAAAGUGAAAAUAAAUUCCACUGAGAUGCAAUGCUUAAAUUACA